This 255-nucleotide ribosomal RNA is filed under the name uncultured marine alveolate. RNAcentral describes it as "partial 18S ribosomal RNA". It matches the Rfam family "Eukaryotic small subunit ribosomal RNA", at positions 618 to 879 of the family's 1831-position model. The record is from RNAcentral.
GUUGAAAAGCUCGUAGUUGGGUUUCUGCGGAGGAAGCGCGGUCCGCACUUGGUGCGUGUAUCUGGUCUACCUACGCAUCUUCCAGUGAAACGCUACUGCGCUUUAUUGCGUGGCGCGGCAAUCUGGACUUUUACUUUGAGGAAAUUGGAGUGUUUACAGCGAGCGAUUGGUUUGAACAUAUUAGCAUGGAAUAAUAACCUAGAACCUUGGUUCUAUUUUGUUGGUUUCUAGACUAGGGUAAUGAUCAAUAGGGAU